AUCCCUUCACUCAUACUCUUACUCUCAUUCAAAGGGGGUGUUUCAUUACUUCAACAUGGCGACACUCUCUAACAUAAUUCUGCUGCGUUGUUCUUGGCAUUUAGUGUUGCACGUCGUUUUCUGGUGGUUUCUGCUGGCCGUUAUUCCUUGCAGCAUGGCCAAUGUACCAAAUGAAUCACCAUCUAUAGAAGCCCAAGAAGAGGCUUAUGUUACCUUCCGACACAAAACGGACAGUCUUACCAUUCUCAUGCUUCUUACAUUACUUUUACUCACAAUUUUGACUAUUUGGUUGUUUAAGCAUAGACGUUUUCGAUUCGUGCAUGAAACUGGACUUUCUAUGAUAUACGGUUUGGUUGUUGGUGCCGUAAUCCGUUAUGCUGGCGGGCCGUCUUCUCACCGCGUUCCACCGCAAGCCAAGCUCAUCAAUGCAACAGCUACAGUUGAAAAUAUACCAAAUUCUAUUUAUUUAUUUUUGAAUAUAUCUAACAGUAGUCACUCAGAGACUUUACAAUAUAAUUUUUACAGCAAAGUUAAGACUGAAACUCAGGGCGUGCCUUUAGAAAGAACAGUUACGUUUGAUCCAGAGUUGUUCUUCAAUGUUCUUCUUCCUGUUAUUAUUUUCAAUGCUGGAUACAGUAUGAAACGAAAACAUUUUUUUCGGAAUCUUGGUGCAGUUAUGACUUAUGCUUUAAUUGGUACCACAAUAUCCAGUAUAGUAUUUGGUGGUAUCAUGUAUGGCCUGACCAGAAUAAUGAACAUAUCGCAUCUAAUCCAGUUGACUGAUUGUUUCUUUUUCGGUGCUGUGAUAUCAGCAACAGACCCUGUUACGAUUCUGGCUAUUUUCCAUGAUCUCAAUGUUGAUGUUGAUUUGUAUGCCCUUGUCUUUGGUGAAAGUGUGCUCAAUGAUGCAGUGGCUAUAGUGUUGUCUCGAGCUGUUGAACAAUAUGCCCAUGCAGCGGGAGGAGAAAACCAAGCAAAUGCUUUCUUUGGUUCCCUGGGCAAUUUCGUUGGAGUCUUUUUGGGUGCUUUUGUGAUCGGUGCAGCUAUUGGCUGCAUAACAGCUUUGAUGACAAAAUAUACAAAGAUUCGAGAAUAUCCUUUAUUAGAAACAGCACUGUUCUUCUUGAUGUCUUACAGUACGUUCCAAGCUGCCGAAGCUGCUGGACUAACAGGAAUUGUUGCUGUCCUAUUUUGUGGUAUUACUCAAGCUCAUUAUACUUAUAACAAUCUCUCGUCAGAAUCGAAAGCGAGGACAAAACAAUUGUUCGAGCUAUGCAACUUUUUAGCUGAAAAUUUUGUAUUCCUCUAUAUUGGAGUGUCUGUAUUUACUUUCCAAGCCAUGAAAUGGCAUGCAAUUUUUAUAUUUUCAGCAUUUUUUGCAAUAAUUAUAGCAAGAUUUUCUAAUGUUUACCCGCUGUCCUAUUUGCUAAAUUUAGGACGGAAGAAUAAAAUUAGUUUUGCUUUCCAACACAUGAUGAUGUUUGCUGGUUUACGAGGAGCAAUCGCUUUUGCUCUAGCCAUUCGAAACACGUCAACGGCAGCCCGACAGUACAUGGUAUCUGCCAUCAUGAUGGUUGUCCUUGUGACAGUCAUAGUGUGUGGAAGUAUGACCACGCCCAUGUUACAGUGGCUCAAGAUCAGAGUUGGUGUCGAUGAAGAACACGAACAGCCGUUUGAGCCUGUGCGUACCGCCAUUAAUCGCCAGAAACAGUAUAGCACGAUGGAUGGGCCGGCGAGUGAACAGUCCUCAUCUUCUGCAGCUGGUGGCACACCAUCAAACUCUACCGCAGCAGGAGUCCCAAAUCAGACCAGCACGAGUCCUGGUUCAGUGCCAAGUGAGCAGCCACCUUCAGGAGAGAAAGCUUGGUUGGUGCUUCAUUGGUACAACUUUGAUACCAAAUACAUGAAGCCAUUCUUGACUAACAGUCGCCCCCUGCUCACAGAAACUCUACCAACCUGGUGCUUACCCAUAGCGAAACUUUUAACUACAAAUGAACAGUUAUCUGAAGGUCUUCAUAAACGGGAGUCUGAUUCUGAUACAGAUAUGAUUAUUGACCACAGCGAGUCAUACGGAGAAAACACCAGUGUUGCCUCUGGACACACGGCUGACAUGAUAGACAGAAAGCCAACACUACAAGAACAGGAAGAUUUUGAGGAUAUAUCUGUGUAUGAUGUGGACGAAUCCUCGACUCCUUUGCUUUGACCUUCAUCAGUAUUUUAUCCUAGGUUCUUUAUCAAAACCACUUUAUAUUUAUAUACUGUUUCAUAUCAAGACCAACCAUGAGAGGAUUAAAGAUUAACUUGGAAGAUGAUGCAACAAGCGGAGACCUUGGACUUGGUGAAAGUAACCACCACCAAUUAAGCCUGCGCAUCAAUCUGCCCGGUUCCCAUGAUAAUAAUCCAUACAAAACUUUGCCUGACUGAGAACAAAACACCACCUGGAAGUUUUACCAUUGAAUAACAUUAAAUAUUGCGUGAACAUCCAUAAAUCCAGUCUGAAUCAAUACUCCAAGAAAUCUUCAUCAUCUGAGCACUUAUUUUUGUUAUCUUUCUUUAUUUUAUCUCCUCCCUCACCUAUGACCACCACCGUCAUUAACAACAACAAUAACCACAAAAACAGUCAUGGACUUGACUUUUGGUGUAAUGUAAAUAAGUAUUCAUUUACCUGAAAUAACGAACGUUUAAUCUUUAUUACACAUGUGCACAUGCACAUAGGCACACGGACAUACAUAUACACCCAUACACAUACACACACAAAUGCUAAUAUAAAUAUGCAUUAGUUCAUGUUAGAAGCAUGGUGUUCCGCAUGAAAGAUGGCAUUUAAUUUAAAGAGUAUUAAUUAAACAGUUAAAUGCUGUUUUAAUUGUGGGACAUCUGUUGCAUACGUCCAGAAGCAUACAUAUAUGUGUGUGUGCAUAUGUCUACCUCUCUCUCUAUAUGUGUGUGUGUAUAUAUAUAUAUGUGUGUGUGU
RNA transcript from Octopus sinensis (East Asian common octopus), 2971 nucleotides. It is a transcript of the gene named sodium/hydrogen exchanger 9, with no coding region annotated. The transcript is spliced from 22 exons. The record is from RefSeq and is a predicted model, not a curated record. Lineage: Eukaryota; Metazoa; Mollusca; Cephalopoda; Octopoda; Octopodidae.